UCUCCGUUGGUGAACCAGCGGAGGGAUCAUUAAAGAGUUGUAAAACUCCCAAACCCAUGUGAACUUACCUUUGUUGCCUCGGUGGGCUACCCGGUAGCUACCCUGUAGUUACCCUGUAGCUUGCCGACGGUAUUCUAAACUCUUGUUUAAUAGUAUCAUCUCUGAGUAAACUUUUAAAUAAGUCAAAACUUUUAACAACGGAUCUCUUGGUUCUGGCAUCGAUGAAGAACGCAGC
RNAcentral lists this unclassified non-coding RNA (235 nucleotides) under uncultured fungus. Its description in RNAcentral is "sequence contains ITS1, 5.8S rRNA gene". The stretch from base 187 to 235 matches the Rfam family "5.8S ribosomal RNA", at positions 1 to 49 of the family's 154-position model. The record is from RNAcentral. Lineage: Eukaryota; Fungi.